This 107-nucleotide small nuclear RNA is filed under the name Jaculus jaculus (lesser Egyptian jerboa). Lineage: Eukaryota; Metazoa; Chordata; Mammalia; Rodentia; Dipodidae. The record is from RNAcentral.
CUGAUUUGACAGCACAUAUACUAAAAUUGGAACAAUACAGAGAAGAUCAGCUUGGCCCCUGCGCAGGCUUGAGUCCUAAUAUAGCAAUGACUGAAUUAAAAAUAGUU